RNAcentral lists this ribosomal RNA (1419 nucleotides) under uncultured bacterium. RNAcentral describes it as "partial 16S ribosomal RNA". It matches the Rfam family "Bacterial small subunit ribosomal RNA". The record is from RNAcentral.
AGAGUUUGAUCCUGGCUCAGGACGAACGCUGGCGGCGUGCCUAAUACAUGCAAGUCGAACGCUUCUUUCCUCCCGAGUGCUUGCACUCAAUUGGAAAGAGGAGUGGCGGACGGGUGAGUAACACGUGGGUAACCUACCCAUCAGAGGGGGAUAACACUUGGAAACAGGUGCUAAUACCGCAUAACAGUUUAUGCCGCAUGGCAUAAGAGUGAAAGGCGCUUUCGGGUGUCGCUGAUGGAUGGACCCGCGGUGCAUUAGCUAGUUGGUGAGGUAACGGCUCACCAAGGCCACGAUGCAUAGCCGACCUGAGAGGGUGAUCGGCCACACUGGGACUGAGACACGGCCCAGACUCCUACGGGAGGCAGCAGUAGGGAAUCUUCGGCAAUGGACGAAAGUCUGACCGAGCAACGCCGCGUGAGUGAAGAAGGUUUUCGGAUCGUAAAACUCUGUUGUUGGAGAAGAAUGUAUCUGAUAGUAACUGAUCAGGUAGUGACGGUAUCCAACCAGAAAGCCACGGCUAACUACGUGCCAGCAGCCGCGGUAAUACGUAGGUGGCAAGCGUUGUCCGGAUUUAUUGGGCGUAAAGCGAGCGCAGGCGGUUUCUUAAGUCUGAUGUGAAAGCCUUCGGCUCAACCGAAGAAGUGCAUCGGAAACUGGGAAACUUGAGUGCAGAAGAGGACAGUGGAACUCCAUGUGUAGCGGUGAAAUGCGUAGAUAUAUGGAAGAACACCAGUGGCGAAGGCGGCUGUCUGGUCUGUAACUGACGCUGAGGCUCGAAAGCAUGGGUAGCAAACAGGAUUAGAUACCCUGGUAGUCCAUGCCGUAAACGAUGAGUGCUAGGUGUUGGAGGGUUUCCGCCCUUCAGUGCCGCAGCUAACGCAUUAAGCACUCCGCCUGGGGAGUACGACCGCAAGGUUGAAACUCAAAGGAAUUGACGGGGGCCCGCACAAGCGGUGGAGCAUGUGGUUUAAUUCGAAGCAACGCGAAGAACCUUACCAGGUCUUGACAUCCUUUGACCACUCUAGAGAUAGAGCUUUCCCUUCGGGGACAAAGUGACAGGUGGUGCAUGGUUGUCGUCAGCUCGUGUCGUGAGAUGUUGGGUUAAGUCCCGCAACGAGCGCAACCCUUAUUACUAGUUGCCAGCAUUUAGUUGGGCACUCUAGUGAGACUGCCAGUGAUAAACUGGAGGAAGGUGGGGAUGACGUCAAGUCAUCAUGGCCCUUACGACCAGGGCUACACACGUGCUACAAUGGCGCAUACAAAGAGAAGCGACCUCGCGAGAGCAAGCGGACCUCAUAAAGUGCGUCGUAGUCCGGAUUGGAGUCUGCAACUCGACUCCAUGAAGUCGGAAUCGCUAGUAAUCGUGGAUCAGAAUGCCACGGUGAAUACGUUCCCGGGCCUUGCACACACCGCCCGUCA